RNAcentral lists this ribosomal RNA (267 nucleotides) under uncultured bacterium. RNAcentral's name for it is "partial 16S ribosomal RNA". It matches the Rfam family "Bacterial small subunit ribosomal RNA", at positions 793 to 1055 of the family's 1533-position model. The record is from RNAcentral.
GUCCUAGCCGUAAACGAUGGGCACUAGGUGUGGGAGGUAUCGACCCCUUCUGUGCCGCAGCUAACGCAUUAAGUGCCCCGCCUGGGGAGUACGGCCGCAAGGUUGAAACUCAAAGGAAUUGACGGGGCCCGCACAAGCGGUGGAGCAUGUGGUUCAAUUCGACGCAACGCGAAGAACCUUACCAGGGCUUGACAUCCCACGAACCUUCCCGAAAGGGUUGGGUGCCCCGCAAGGGGAGCGUGGAGACAGGUGGUGCAUGGCUGUCGU